Molecule: long non-coding RNA, 973 nt
Filed under: Ananas comosus (pineapple)
Lineage: Eukaryota; Viridiplantae; Streptophyta; Magnoliopsida; Poales; Bromeliaceae
Description: long non-coding RNA (ACOM_LNC030791)
Source: RNAcentral
CCUCUUCAUCACUCAGUCCACUCCCAAAUAAUAAUAAUAAUAAUAAUAAUAAUAAUAAUAAAUAAUCAUAAUCAUUAGAGAUUUUGAAUUUUCAUCAACACUUCCUCGUCGCCCACGCCGCCUUGCCUACUCCGUCACCUCACCUUCCUCCGCCGCCUAGCCCUCGCCCACCUCUCCAUCCGUGUUCACACACAUGGUCUCGCUCUCCUUUGCCGUCUCGCCCGUCUCUCCAUCCAUACCCACCCCAAUCUCUUCCCUAUCGUCACCGAAAUGGAGGGGCGAGAAGGGCGCAGGAGGAGCGGAGGAGCCGGUGGAGGAAAUAGAAUCGGAGCUGCAGUUGAGUGAGAUGCGAAGAAUGGAAGAGAAGAGGCGGCGACUAAGCAAGAUUGGAGAGAAGACGAAGAUAGUGAGGAGUAAUUUGGUCAUUUUAUCAUCACAGUUAAACACCGUACUUUCUGUAAAUAUUUUUUAUUUUUUUAAAAGGUAAAAUAUAGGUUUUAAACGACAGGAGAGGAAAGUGAAAAAGUAGUUAUUGACAGAAAAUUUUUUAUAAUUUAGUCUUAAAAUAAAUAUCUAUUCUAGAACUUUUGAUUCUGCUAAAGUGAGGAGCCACUUAGGAUUACGGUGUGCCAGGAAUCAUAUGCUGGUUUGGUUUGAUUUGAUUUGAUUUUUAUUGUGAAUGGUUUGGUUUUGGCCUACAAGCCAAAGGGACAUCUGAAAGCUGUCUUUAAAAAUCAUAGCCUUAAACCAACAAAUCGAACCAAAACACCGACCAUCCCUAAAGCAACUGGCAAAGGGCUUGGUUGUUGGUAUCCGAGACCCAAAUUCGAAUCCUAGUUGAUUCACAUUUCUAGCUAAAUUUAUUUCUGAAUGAAAUAAACGAAGCGGGUAGUGUGCUACCUAUCUCUAAAAAAAAACAAAUCAAACCAAAACCAUUGAAAUUUUUGGUUUAGUUGAUUUAGCUAUUCACAUU